AACAGAACCAGGAGGGGGCGACCAGGGGUUUCUCCACAAACCCUAAUUCUCACAAAAUCCUUCAAAUUGAAGCUCAAAUCAAGCCCGAAUCGUCUGCAUGAUUACAAAUUCGUGAUCUCCAUUGAAAGGGGAGUCAUAAGUUUGACUCUUGACGAGCUAGGUGAAGCUUGGAGGAGAAGAUCAAACGGGAUAAAGGCACGAAUAAGACUUGCUUGGAUGAAAGGGGCGAAUAGUAAUUUGGGUAAUUGCGUCGCCAUAAGAAUAUCGAUAAUGAAAGCAAGGAGUCGAAACGGGUCAUUAGGUUGACUCGAGCCAGGUGAAUGUCGAGAGUCCCGGAUGAAGAUCAAGCAUCGAACAAGAACCGAACACACGUUAAACAAAGCUUCCGCAACGUUAUUUUGUCGUUAUUCUAAACGGCGAAUUAAAUCACAUUAUGUAUAUCACUUAAAUUGUAAAAGUUUUUAACAACCCGUAUUUCUAAUGUAUAUGUAAUUAUUAAUUACAUGAUUAUUUCGCUAAA
Helianthus annuus (common sunflower) is the source of this 520-nucleotide long non-coding RNA. RefSeq lists it as uncharacterized. The record is from RefSeq and is a predicted model, not a curated record. The transcript has 4 exons. Lineage: Eukaryota; Viridiplantae; Streptophyta; Magnoliopsida; Asterales; Asteraceae.